Molecule: ribosomal RNA, 505 nt
Filed under: uncultured bacterium
Lineage: Bacteria
Description: partial 16S ribosomal RNA
Rfam family: Bacterial small subunit ribosomal RNA
Source: RNAcentral
GACGAACGCUGGCGGCGUGCCUAAUACAUGCAAGUAGAACGCACAGUUUAUACCGUAGCUUGCUACACCAUAGACUGUGAGUUGCGAACGGGUGAGUAACGCGUAGGUAACCUGCCUGGUAGCGGGGGAUAACUAUUGGAAACGAUAGCUAAUACCGCAUAAUAUUAAUUAUUGCAUGAUAAUUAAUUGAAAGGUGCAAUUGCACCACUACCAGAUGGACCUGCGUUGUAUUAGCUAGUAGGUGAGGUAACGGCUCACCUAGGCGACGAUACAUAGCCGACCUGGGGGGGUGAUCGGCCAACAUGGGACUGGGACACGGCCCAGACUCCUACGGGGAGCAGCAGUAGGGAAACUUCGGCAAUGGACGAAAGUCUGGCCGAGCAACGCCGCGUGGGUGAAGAAGGUUUUCGGAUCGUAAAGCUCUGUUGUAAGAGAAGAACGGGUGUGAGAGUGGAAAGUUCACACUGUGACGGUAUCUUACCAGAAAGGGACGGCUAACUACGUG